RNAcentral lists this ribosomal RNA (451 nucleotides) under uncultured bacterium. RNAcentral describes it as "bacterial SSU rRNA". It matches the Rfam family "Bacterial small subunit ribosomal RNA", at positions 354 to 796 of the family's 1533-position model. The record is from RNAcentral.
GUGGGGAAUAUUGGACAAUGGGCGAAAGCCUGAUCCAGCCAUGCCGCGUGUGUGAAGAAGGUCUUCGGAUUGUAAAGCACUUUAAGCGAGGAGGAGGCUACCGAGAUUAAUACUCUUGGAUAGUGGACGUUACUCGCAGAAUAAGCACCGGCUAACUCUGUGCCAGCAGCCGCGGUAAUACAAAGGGUGCAAGCGUUAAUCGGAUUUACUGGGCGUAAAGCGCGCGUAGGUGGCCAAUUAAGUCAAAUGUGAAAUCCCCGAGCUUAACUUGGGAAUUGCAUUCGAUACUGGUUGGCUAGAGUAUGGGAGAGGAUGGUAGAAUUCCAGGUGUAGCGGUGAAAUGCGUAGAGAUCUGGAGGAAUACCGAUGGCGAAGGCAGCCAUCUGGCCUAAUACUGACACUGAGGUGCGAAAGCGUGGGGAGCAAACAGGAUUAGAUACCCGGGUAGUCC